GGGAGCGGCAGACGGGUGAGUAACGCGUGGGAACGUACCCUUUACUACGGAAUAACGCAGGGAAACUUGUGCUAAUACCGUAUGUGCCCUUCGGGGGAAAGAUUUAUCGGUAAGGGAUCGGCCCGCGUUGGAUUAGCUAGUUGGUGGGGUAAAGGCCUACCAAGGCGACGAUCCAUAGCUGGUCUGAGAGGAUGAUCAGCCACAUUGGGACUGAGACACGGCCCAAACUCCUACGGGAGGCAGCAGUGGGGAAUAUUGGACAAUGGGCGCAAGCUGAUCCAGCCAUGCCGCGUGAGUGAUGAAGGCCCUAGGGUUGUAAAGCUCUUUCACCGGAGAAGAUAAUGACGGUAUCCGGAGAAGAAGCCCCGGCUAACUUCGUGCCAGCAGCCGCGGUAAUACGAAGGGGGCUAGCGUUGUUCGGAAUUACUGGGCGUAAAGCGCACGUAGGCGGACAUUUAAGUCAGGGGUGAAAUCCCAGAGCUCAACUCUGGAACUGCCUUUGAUA
RNAcentral lists this ribosomal RNA (505 nucleotides) under Rhizobium sp. Its description in RNAcentral is "bacterial SSU rRNA". It matches the Rfam family "Bacterial small subunit ribosomal RNA", at positions 91 to 632 of the family's 1533-position model. The record is from RNAcentral. Lineage: Bacteria; Pseudomonadati; Pseudomonadota; Alphaproteobacteria; Hyphomicrobiales; Rhizobiaceae.